RNAcentral lists this ribosomal RNA (492 nucleotides) under Alteromonadales bacterium M7-C5. Its description in RNAcentral is "bacterial SSU rRNA". It matches the Rfam family "Bacterial small subunit ribosomal RNA", at positions 1 to 493 of the family's 1533-position model. Lineage: Bacteria; Pseudomonadati; Pseudomonadota; Gammaproteobacteria; Alteromonadales. The record is from RNAcentral.
UAGAGUUUGGAUCAUGGCUCAGAUUGAACGCUGGCGGCAGGCCUAACACAUGCAAGUCGAGCGGUAGAAAGUAGCUUGCUACUUUUGAGAGCGGCGGACGGGUGAGUAACGCGUGGGAAUCUACCUGGUAGUGGGGGACAACUUGGGGAAACUCAAGCUAAUACCGCAUACGCCCUACGGGGGAAAGGAGGGGCUCUUCGGACCUUUCGCUAUCAGAUGAGCCUGCGUAGGAUUAGCUAGUUGGUAGGGUAAAGGCCUACCAAGGCGACGAUCCUUAGCUGGUCUGAGAGGAUGAUCAGCCACACUGGGACUGAGACACGGCCCAGACUCCUACGGGAGGCAGCAGUGGGGAAUAUUGGACAAUGGGGGCAACCCUGAUCCAGCCAUGCCGCGUGUGUGAAGAAGGCCUUCGGGUUGUAAAGCACUUUCAGUGGUGAGGAAGGGUGUAAAGUUAAUACCUUUAUACAUUGACCGUAGCCACAGAGAGACCCG